ACGUGUUUCAGUCGCCAACUGCAACCUACAUCCACACGGACAACCAUACUCCAUACUCAACAAGAAAUUUUCUGGAGAUGUUUCAACAACUGGAAUACUGGUUCUCCUAACCCACUGUACCUCAGCUGAAGCACAACCCGUGCUCCCACUACCAUAAGUACCUCUGACUGGUCUACCUGAACCUUUCUAUGCUCGUUCAUCCUGAAUCUGACCUGUGACAAUAUGUUUCUCUCUUGUAAAGACAACCCUCUUCUGCCCACGAGAUUCUGUAAACCAGACUUUGUUUAUCUUCUGAAUUGAGACAGUCACUUCCUCAUACGGUAAUCCGAUAAUAUACAACGAACCUUUCUUUCUUCCGCGGG
RNAcentral lists this long non-coding RNA (362 nucleotides) under Phaseolus vulgaris (common bean). RNAcentral's name for it is "long non-coding RNA (PVUL_LNC002639)". Lineage: Eukaryota; Viridiplantae; Streptophyta; Magnoliopsida; Fabales; Fabaceae. The record is from RNAcentral.